GGGAACAAUGACAGCCUUGCCGCGUCCAGGUGACCUCCACGAACCAUGCUCUCCUUCCAGCCUCGCAGGGGCGAAGCCAGGAUUGAACGUAGGUGGGGAUCAAGAUAGCCGUGAACAUUCUCUUUGUGUCGGUGGUGUACUUUUCUUAAGAGGUUAUUUGAAAUGGCUACUGGAGAAUAUGUGGAAUUUUUUCAAACUUUCUUGUUUAUAUCUUUUGAAUUUCUGAUGAGCUACUGAGAAUGUAAACAUUAAACUUACGAAUGCAUCUAACUCACUCUCAAAAUACGCAUAUAAUGACGAUUGUGCUCAAGCUAUAUCGAAAGCGAUUAUCAGUGUUUGGCACACCGGUUCACCAAGACGCUUGAGAGUGUGAUAUGUUAA
This 381-nucleotide long non-coding RNA is filed under the name Setaria viridis. Its description in RNAcentral is "long non-coding RNA (SVIR_LNC002423)". Lineage: Eukaryota; Viridiplantae; Streptophyta; Magnoliopsida; Poales; Poaceae. The record is from RNAcentral.